This 289-nucleotide ribosomal RNA is filed under the name Bacteroides ovatus. RNAcentral's name for it is "partial 16S ribosomal RNA". It matches the Rfam family "Bacterial small subunit ribosomal RNA", at positions 1 to 288 of the family's 1533-position model. Lineage: Bacteria; Pseudomonadati; Bacteroidota; Bacteroidia; Bacteroidales; Bacteroidaceae. The record is from RNAcentral.
UUAAACUGAAGAGUUUGAUCCUGGCUCAGAUUGAACGCUGGCGGCAUGCCUUACACAUGCAAGUCGAACGGCAGCACGGGUGCUUGCACCUGGUGGCGAGUGGCGAACGGGUGAGUAAUACAUCGGAACAUGUCCUGUAGUGGGGGAUAGCCCGGCGAAAGCCGGAUUAAUACCGCAUACGAUCUACGGAUGAAAGCGGGGGACCUUCGGGCCUCGCGCUAUAGGGUUGGCCGAUGGCUGAUUAGCUAGUUGGUGGGGUAAAGGCCUACCAAGGCGACGAUCAGUAGCU